Molecule: non-coding RNA, 31 nt
Filed under: Mus musculus (house mouse)
Lineage: Eukaryota; Metazoa; Chordata; Mammalia; Rodentia; Muridae
Source: RNAcentral
UAAGUAGAUAUAUUAUAAGGUUUCUGCACUG